This 424-nucleotide ribosomal RNA is filed under the name uncultured bacterium. RNAcentral describes it as "bacterial SSU rRNA". It matches the Rfam family "Bacterial small subunit ribosomal RNA", at positions 355 to 776 of the family's 1533-position model. The record is from RNAcentral. RNAcentral also lists the same sequence under 1 other name.
UGAGGAAUAUUGGUCAAUGGGCGCAAGCCUGAACCAGCCAUGCCGCGUGCAGGAAGAAUGCCCUAUGGGUUGUAAACUGCUUUUAUUUAGGAAUAAACCUUUCUACGUGUAGAAAGCUGAAGGUACUGAAUGAAUAAGCACCGGCUAACUCCGUGCCAGCAGCCGCGGUAAUACGGAGGGUGCAAGCGUUAUCCGGAAUCAUUGGGUUUAAAGGGUCCGCAGGCGGGCGUAUAAGUCAGUGGUGAAAUCCUGCAGCUUAACUGCAGAACUGCCAUUGAUACUGUACGUCUUGAAUUCGGUCGAAGUGGGCGGAAUGUGUAGUGUAGCGGUGAAAUGCAUAGAUAUUACACAGAACACCGAUAGCGAAGGCAGCUCACUAGGCCUGGAUUGACGCUCAGGGACGAAAGCGUGGGGAUCAAACAGG